AUGGAGUCACAGACCCAGGUUCUCAUGUCCCUGCUGCUCUGGGUGUCUGGUGCCUGUGCUGAUAUAGUGAUGACCCAGUCUCCAUCCUCCCUGGCAGUGUCAGCAGGAGAGAAGGUCACCAUCAGCUGCAAGUCCAGUCAGAGUCUUACUUCAGGCUCCUAUCACUACUUGGCCUGGUACCAGCAGAAACCAGGGCAAUCUCCUAAACUGCUGAUCUACUAUGCAUCCACUCAGAACACUGGGGUCCCUGAUCGCUUCACAGGCAGUGGGUCUGGGACAGAUUUCACUCUCACCAUCAGCAGUGUCCAGGCUGAAGACCUGGCAGAUUAUUACUGUCAGCAGCAUUAUAGUACUCCUCCCACAGUGCUUCAGCCUCCAACAAAAACCUCCUCUGAGAAUCUCACCAGCUGCCUGCACCACACACAGCCCUGGACCUGCACACUUCCACUUUCCCCCUUCUGCCUGAGAGCUGCUGUGCCUUAA
This is a non-coding RNA of Onychomys torridus (southern grasshopper mouse), 483 nucleotides long. The record is from the annotation of a RefSeq genome assembly. NCBI's taxonomy places the organism in Eukaryota, Metazoa, Chordata, Mammalia, Rodentia, Cricetidae.